GAUGAACGCUGGCGGCGUGCCUAAUACAUGCAAGUCGAGCGAUCAGACGAGGAGCUUGCUCCUCUGACGUUAGCGGCGGACGGGUGAGUAACACGUGGAUAACCUACCUAUAAGACUGGGAUAACUUCGGGAAACCGGAGCUAAUACCGGAUAAUAUAUUGAACCGCAUGGUUCAAUAGUGAAAGACGGUUUUGCUGUCACUUAUAGAUGGAUCCGCGCCGCAUUAGCUAGUUGGUAAGGUAACGGCUUACCAAGGCAACGAUGCGUAGCCGACCUGAGAGGGUGAUCGGCCACACUGGAACUGAGACACGGUCCAGACUCCUACGGGAGGCAGCAGUAGGGAAUCUUCCGCAAUGGGCGAAAGCCUGACGGAGCAGCGCCGCGUGAGUGAUGAAGGUCUUCGGAUCGUAAAACUCUGUUAUUAGGGAAGAACAAAUGUGUAAGUAACUAUGCACGUCUUGACGGUACCUAAUCAGAAAGCCACGGCUAACUACGUG
RNAcentral lists this ribosomal RNA (497 nucleotides) under uncultured bacterium. RNAcentral's name for it is "partial 16S ribosomal RNA". It matches the Rfam family "Bacterial small subunit ribosomal RNA", at positions 28 to 507 of the family's 1533-position model. The record is from RNAcentral.